CCUACGGGUGGCUGCAGUGGGGAAUUUUGGACAAUGGGCGCAAGCCUGAUCCAGCUAUUCCGCGUGUGGGAUGACGGCUCUCUGGUUGUAAACCUCUUUAGUAGAGAACGAAAAAGAGCUAUCGUAUAAAUACCUCUGCUGACGGUACUCUAAGAAUAAGCCCCGGCUAACUACGUGCCAGCAGCCGCGGUAAUACGUAGGGUGCGAGCGUUGAUCGGAAUUAUUGGGCGUAAAGGGUGUGCAGGCGGCUGAGUAAGACAGAUGUGAAAUCCCCGGGCUUAACCUGGGAACCGCAUAUGUGACUGGUGGGCUAGAGUGCGGGAGAGGGAGGUGGAAUUCCAGGUGUAGCAGUGAAAUGCGUAGAUAUGUGGAAGAACACCGAUGGCGAAGGCAGCUUACUGGGACGUAACUGACGCUGAUGCACGAAAGCGUGGGGAGCAAACAGGAUUAGAUACCCCUGUAGUC
RNAcentral lists this ribosomal RNA (465 nucleotides) under uncultured bacterium. RNAcentral describes it as "partial 16S ribosomal RNA". It matches the Rfam family "Bacterial small subunit ribosomal RNA", at positions 338 to 795 of the family's 1533-position model. The record is from RNAcentral.